GAUGAACGCUGGCGGCGUGCCUAACACAUGCAAGUCGAGCGAACGGACGAGAAGCUUGCUUUUCUGAUGUUAGCGGCGGACGGGUGAGUAACACGUGGAUAACCUACCUAUAAGACUGGGAUAACUUCGGGAAACCGGAGCUAAUACCGGAUAAUAUUUUGAACCGCAUGGUUCAAAAGUGAAAGACGGUCUUGCUGUCACUUAUAGAUGGAUCCGCGCUGCAUUAGCUAGUUGGUAAGGUAACGGCUUACCAAGGCAACGAUGCAUAGCCGACCUGAGAGGGUGAUCGGCCACACUGGAACUGAGACACGGUCCAGACUCCUACGGGAGGCAGCAGUGGGGAAUCUUCCGCAAUGGGCGAAAGUCUGACGGAGCAACGCCGCGUGAGUGAUGAAGGUCUUCGGAUCGUAAAACUCUGUUAUUAGGGAAGAACAUAUGUGUAAGUAACUGUGCACAUCUUGACGGUACCGAAUCAGAAAGCCACGGCUAACUACGUG
Molecule: ribosomal RNA, 497 nt
Filed under: uncultured bacterium
Lineage: Bacteria
Description: partial 16S ribosomal RNA
Rfam family: Bacterial small subunit ribosomal RNA
Source: RNAcentral